CGGAGCCGCAGCCCGUGGGAGCAGCCCCUGUGGGUGGGCCCCGUGGUACGGAGCCGUGUGGAGCAGUGCCUGGAGAGCUGCGGCCGGUGGGGAACCCACAGAGGGUCAGCUGAGGCAGGACGGCAUCCCGUGGGACAGACCCACGCGGAGCACGGCACAGAGUGGCCACGGGGAGCGGUAGAGAGGAAGCGUUAUGGACUGACCAUGGCCUCCACUCCCUAUUCCCCUGUGCUGCUCAGAUGGAGGAGAUAAAAGAGGUGGAUGGAAGAGGAGUGUGACAGCAGCCUGGCAGACAUGUGGUGUCCAGCCAAGGUCGACAUACUGCAUCAGCACGCAAGCCUGAUAAUUUUACUUCAAAUUUUG
RNAcentral lists this long non-coding RNA (363 nucleotides) under Gallus gallus (chicken). RNAcentral's name for it is "long non-coding RNA NONGGAT011730". The record is from RNAcentral. Lineage: Eukaryota; Metazoa; Chordata; Aves; Galliformes; Phasianidae.